This 450-nucleotide ribosomal RNA is filed under the name uncultured cyanobacterium. Its description in RNAcentral is "bacterial SSU rRNA". It matches the Rfam family "Bacterial small subunit ribosomal RNA", at positions 8 to 504 of the family's 1533-position model. Lineage: Bacteria; Bacillati; Cyanobacteriota. The record is from RNAcentral.
AGAGUUUGAUCCUGGCUCAGGAUGAACGCUGGCGGUCUGCUUAACACAUGCAAGUCGAACGGAAUCUUUCGGGAUUUAGUGGCGGACGGGUGAGUAACGCGUGAGAAUCUGCCUUCAGGUUCGGGACAACAGUUGGAAACGGCUGCUAAUACCGGAUGUGCCGAGAGGUGAAAGCUUAAGUGCCUGGAGAUGAGCUCGUGUCUGAUUAGCUAGUAGGAGUGGUAACGGCACCCCUAGGCGACGAUCAGUAGCUGGUCUGAGAGGAUGAUCAGCCACACUGGGACUGAGACACGGCCCAGACUCCUACGGGAGGCAGCAGUGGGGAAUUUUCCGCAAUGGGCGCAAGCCUGACGGAGCAAGACCGCGUGAGGGAAGAAGGUCUGUGGAUUGUAAACCUCUUUUGAUCGGGAAGAAGACAGUGACGGUACCGAUCGAAUCAGCUCGACCCCC